AAAGGCAAAAAGAAUUAACACUCAUUCAAACUCUUUUAGGCCCUUUGUGCCUCUUUUAAAUUUAAAUUUUGAUUAAAAGCAACCCACUCAUUUUGAAAUUGAUACCACGAACUACGAGGUUUUGAUCCCUCAUUUUUAUGUUGGUACGUAGGCACAAGUUCGAAGGUCUCGUCAAACACAAAACUAUAAUUAAUGAAUUCUCUUUUCAUCCCCACACUCUA
RNAcentral lists this long non-coding RNA (221 nucleotides) under Lathyrus oleraceus (garden pea). Its description in RNAcentral is "Pisum sativum (pea) long non-coding RNA (PSAT_LNC032018)". Lineage: Eukaryota; Viridiplantae; Streptophyta; Magnoliopsida; Fabales; Fabaceae. The record is from RNAcentral.